Molecule: long non-coding RNA, 3073 nt
Organism: Brassica napus (rape)
Lineage: Eukaryota; Viridiplantae; Streptophyta; Magnoliopsida; Brassicales; Brassicaceae
Exons: 3
Source: RefSeq, a predicted model, not a curated record
UGAGGUGUAAAAAAAUUCUUACUAAAUUGGAGUCUGGGGGAGCAGAGGAAAAAAUCAUCAUUCCCAAAAGUUGUAUUUUGGAUGACGAGGAUAUUUAGACUAGUUGAUGACACUUAAAAGCCACCAAUGUUAUCCAUAAACAACACAUGCAAGAUAUUCAAUUUGUUGUUCUCAAUCUUCAACGGGCCCCCAAUAUCGUAGGUGCAUGUGGUGUACAGUACAAGCACCUCAAGAGAAGGGCAAGAUGAGAGUAGUGUAUAAAAGACUUCAACCUUGGUAGCGUUGAUUAAAUAAAGUUUGAGGGUCCUAAGAUUAGAGCAGUUUCUAAAGGGAUGUGAGCUUCUAAAAAUGUAUAACCUUAGCGAGAGUGACAUGAGGCUUGGAUGAGAGAAUGAGUCUGAUGGAAACUCGAAGCUUUUCCAGUUCGAUCCCAACAAUCAAAAUGGCGGAUGAGUGUGAGAACUUUUGAGUGAUUGAAUCCAAGUAUUGAGAAUUCCAUUUAGACCACGGGAUGAGGAAUAAUUGAUCACACAGCUCUCUAUAUGUCCCUGAUGAUUGUAUAUAACCUUUGAAAAACCACCAAAGAGUAAGUAAGAGAAUAAGAGAAUGCCAAAGAAAAAGAAAAACUAACUGACAAAGGGAACCUACCUUAGUAAUCAAUAUGUCAUCUGGAUUGGACCCAUCAAGCAGUUUUGUGGAAUUAGUAGUCUUUGGCUUGUCAAAUACAAGAUGAGACACUUGUUUCCACACAUGCUCCCAUUGUUUCGACACAAUACUGGACGGCUUCUUAAGUUGUUAUGAGAGUUACAAGUAAUAAUGUUUGCAGUUUCAAUAUCAUUAUGCUUAGCCCAUAUUAUUUUUCCAAUCAAAUAUCUAAGAAAAAACCAUCUCCUAUCAGCGGAUCCAAUUAAAUAUUUUACCUGAUUAGAUGAUGAUGAUGAUCUAUCCAUAUAUGGUUGACAAAAAUUUUCUUUAAAAUUUGCUGAUCAUGAGCAAGCCGGUGGAUAAAGAGAUUAUUUUCAGUAACCGGACCAGACCAGUCCUCGCUUUUUAACCGGUUCCAGGCUGUAGUAAAAAUUGGAUUUGAAUUAAAUUGGCUAACCCGAUUAAAACCUUGUCAAAUCGUUAAAACCAAUGACUGGGAUCGAUAUAAAAGCACCACUUUUUCAAAUUCAAAUUAAAAAACUAAAAACUGCAUUUUUAAAAAAUAAUGUCAUGAAAUAUGUUUUAUAUAGUAACUAUCUAAAUAUAUCAGUUUUCAUUAUAUUUUAUAUUAUUUUGAAGUUUUCAUUUUAUUUUCAUAUUAUUUUGAAAUUUUUGAAAUACUUUUUUCUUCAAUUGAUCUUGAUUUUGUUUGGUAAUUUGAUUCACUCCAUUUUUUUCUUUUCCAAAUGUUUCUAGAACUCAAUAGCAACUGCAAUGGUGAUGAUCCUAAAAGAAAGAUGUGAACACUUGAUCUCAACGAGUUCAUUGCUUCAUGUCUGGCUUGCAGAUGAAACUUUGGAGAUUACCAUUGAAAGAGAAACAGAAACACAUCAACUUUGGUCAAAUCUUAUUGCUCCAACUUUCUUCCUAGCUGAGCCAAGAGAUGAUUGGUGUGAAAUAUGUAAACACAAGCCAUAACAUAGUACAUAUAUAGUAUAUAUUAUGAAAAUGCAUAACAUAUAUACUAAUAAAAGUUAUGUAACAAUACUAAUGUUUUAUGAAUAUUAUUUAAUAAAAGUUAUCUAAAAAUAAUUAUGUUUACAUAUGAACUUUAAUAGAAUUAUAUAACAAUCUAUACAAUACUAAAAGGCCAAUAUACUCAUCGUUUAGACCCUCCACGUUGGAUCAGAUAAUCAUCCAAUAGAAACGCUGCUUUCCGCCACGUCACACAUAUAUGGGCUUGCACGAUUUUUUUGUUUUCUGUAGGUUAUGGACUCUUCUUUCUGGGCCGCAGUGCAAACCAAAAGAAAGCCCAUCUCGCCUACCUCUUCUUCCUGAUUCGCCUUUCUAAGGUUCAUCGUCACUUUGACCCAAAAAAAAAGUGUUCAUCGUCACUAAUCUUCGCGUCAGAGUUUGUUCAUGUCGUUCCCGUUUCGAUUCUUCACCUCCCAACGGUUACAAGUCUCAUUGAUUCAACAUAAUUAACCAAAACUUAGCUCUUCCUGGCCACUACAACCAAGAUCUCGCUUUCAAAGACUUUUAUCUAGCUUCAAGGCGGUGACUCUCACCUAUAAAAACGUAUGGCUUGGCUUCAUCUUUGAGCAUCAUCCUCACAGAUCCUAAAAUUGAGAGAAAUAUUAUAUUCUGUAUAAUGGCUGCCUCAUCUGUCUUGCUCUCUGAUUAGGAGGCUGGAAGUUGUUCUUCUUACACGGUGGAGGUUCGGCUGCUCAGAUUCUGGAAAGCAAGAAUGUGAUCAUGUUUGAUUUUUUCGUGGUUGAAUCUAAACGUGAUCGUGUUUGACUUAGUAAUUCACUAUGAGACUUACCAGAAAUCUCUUGCGGAGCACCAAAACCCAGAUACGUUGAAGAGGCUGAAUGCGGCUGAUAGAGCCAAGAAGAUUUGCUGCAUCAAUAGUAUUUUGAUCCCACUAUUGGUGAGGCAAAGCGUCAAAAAGGUAAUAAGUUAUUCAAGGAGCAGGAGUAUCAUGAUGCUGUGAGACAUCACACUGAAGCUAUACAAAGAAAUCCAAAAGAACCAACAGUAAGUCCAAUUCUAAUCAUCUUAUAUGUACUUAACUGUUGUGUAUAAAGGCUUCACUGUUACGUCUUCAUUUCGGUUUAGAGCGAACCAGUGAGCUAAGAUUUUUUUUUUUUCUUUUCUUCCAGACUAGGCCUAGGGGAAUGCAAGACCAGGGAAUCAAGAACAUUCUCACAGAUCUGUAAUGAGACAGGAGAAUUCACCAGCAGCACAACAUGCACACCCGAUGAUCAUGAUCAAAUCCAAAAGCAUAUAAAGCUAAACCCAGAUUUUUUACUUUUUGUAGCUCUCAAACCAAAAUCAAGUUCCACCCAUUGUUUCAGGAUAAUCUGAUGUAACAUUUUCUUAUAUCAAAUGUGUCUUUAUAAGACAGAGACUUGAAUUGCUUACA